ACGGGUGCGGAACACGUACGCAACCUUCCUUCAAGCGGGGAAUAGCCCAGAGAAAUUUGGAUUAAUACCCCAUAAGAAUGUGACCUGGCAUCAGGUAGCAUUUAAAGAUUUAUCACUUGAAGAUGGGCGUGCGUCUGAUUAGGUAGUUGGUGAGGUAACGGCUCACCAAGCCGACGAUCAGUAACUGGCGUGAGAGCGCGACCAGUCACACGGGCACUGUGACACGGGCCCGACUCCUACGGGAGGCAGCAGUAAGGAAUAUUGGUCAAUGGACGCAAGUCUGAACCAGCCAUGCCGCGUGGAGGAUGAAGGCCCUCUGGGUUGUAAACUUCUUUUAUUUGGGACGAAACACUUCUUUUCUAAGGAGCUUGACGGUACCAGAUGAAUAAGCACCGGCUAACUCCGUGCCAGCAGCCGCGGUAAUACGGAGGGUGCAAGCGUUAUCCGGAUUCACUGGGUUUAAAGGGUGCGUAGGCGGACCUGUAAGUCCGUGGUGAAAUCUCCAAGCUUAACUUGGAAACUGCCAUGGAUACUAUAUGUCUUGAAUGUUGUGGAGGUUAGCGGAAUAUGUCUUGUAGCGGUG
This 583-nucleotide ribosomal RNA is filed under the name uncultured Chitinophaga sp. Its description in RNAcentral is "bacterial SSU rRNA". It matches the Rfam family "Bacterial small subunit ribosomal RNA", at positions 102 to 683 of the family's 1533-position model. The record is from RNAcentral. Lineage: Bacteria; Pseudomonadati; Bacteroidota; Chitinophagia; Chitinophagales; Chitinophagaceae.